CCAUACUCAAAUGAAGAAGCAGAAUAUGUUCUUUUGAUAUAAAUAUAAAGAUUGUAUCAAAUUUCUAUGGAGAAGAGAGAGGAGCAAAUGAUAAAGACUGAGAUUUCCAUGGCAAAUUCCACAUUCAUCACAGAGGAGAUACCCAGUAGUUUUGCUUUAUCAUCCUCAACUCCAACAUCAGCAAGCAUCUUUGACAUGAUGCCAUGUGAUAUUGGUGAUAAAGCCUCUUUAGGCUUCACGGACCUGCUUGAUGGCAACCAAGAUUUUGGCACUUGUUUGUUCGAUUGGUUUCAGCCUCCGAUUGUUCCUCACCAACCCUUGCCUUCUCCGGCGUCCACUGUUCCCGAAUCAUCCGAGGUCUUGAACACUCCGGCCACUCCUAACUCCUCCUCCAUCUCUUCAUCCUCGAAUGAAGCAGGAAAUGAGGCGCAAGCUAAAGCUGGAGAUGAAGAAGAGCAGGAUCAAGAAAAGAACAAGAA
This 479-nucleotide unclassified non-coding RNA is filed under the name Hevea brasiliensis (rubber tree). Lineage: Eukaryota; Viridiplantae; Streptophyta; Magnoliopsida; Malpighiales; Euphorbiaceae. The record is from RNAcentral.